GACGAACGCUGGCGGCGUGCUUAACACAUGCAAGUCGAACGCUGAAGCUCAGCUUUUGUUGGGUGGAUGAGUGGCGAACGGGUGAGUAACACGUGAGUAACCUGCCCCCUUCUUUGGGAUAACGCCCGGAAACGGGUGCUAAUACUGGAUAUUCACUGGUCUUCGCAUGGGGGUUGGUGGAAAGGGUUUUUCUGGUGGGGGAUGGGCUCGCGGCCUAUCAGCUUGUUGGUGGGGUGAUGGCCUACCAAGGCUUUGACGGGUAGCCGGCCUGAGAGGGUGACCGGUCACUUUGGGACUGACCUGCGGCCCAGGCUCGUCCGGGGGGGAGCAGUGGGGACUAUUGCCCAAUGGGCGCAAGACUGAUGCCGCGUCGCCGCGUGAGGGCUUGGGGCCUUCGGGUUGUGAACCUCUUUCGCUCAUGGUCAAGCCGCAACAAUGGUUGUGGUGAGGGUAGUGGGUAAAGAAGCGCCGGCUAACUACGUG
This 483-nucleotide ribosomal RNA is filed under the name uncultured bacterium. RNAcentral describes it as "partial 16S ribosomal RNA". It matches the Rfam family "Bacterial small subunit ribosomal RNA", at positions 28 to 507 of the family's 1533-position model. The record is from RNAcentral.